Infundibulicybe gibba is the source of this 90-nucleotide non-coding RNA. NCBI's taxonomy places the organism in Eukaryota, Fungi, Basidiomycota, Agaricomycetes, Agaricales, Omphalinaceae. The record is from the annotation of a GenBank genome assembly.
GGCAACAUGGCCGAGUGGUCUAAGGCGCUGGAAUUAGGAUAGAUAUCCAUCCAGUCCGAAAGGGCGUGGGUUCGAACCCCACUGUUGUCA